UCGAGAAUCUUCGGCAAUGGGCGCAAGCCUGACCGAGCGACGCCGCGUGCGGGAUGAAGGCCUUCGGGUUGUAAACCGCUGUCAGUUGGGAGGAAAUGCCAUGGGGUACUCUCCAUGGUUUGACCGAUCUUCAGAGGAAGUCCGGGCUAAGUUCGUGCCAGCAGCCGCGGUAAGACGAACCGGACGAACGUUAUUCGGAAUUACUGGGCUUAAAGAGUGCGUAGGCGGCUUGGCAAGUUGGGUGUGAAAUCCCUCGGCUCAACCGAGGAACUGCGCUCAAAACUGCCAGGCUUGAGGGAGAUAGGGGUGAGCGGAACAGAUGGUGGAGCGGUGAAAUGCGUUGAUAUCAUCUGGAACACCGGUGGCGAAGGCGGCUCACUGGAUCUCUUCUGACGCUGAGGCACGAAAGCUAGGGUAGCGAACGGGAUUAGAUACCCCCGUAGUCC
Molecule: ribosomal RNA, 446 nt
Filed under: uncultured prokaryote
Description: bacterial SSU rRNA
Rfam family: Bacterial small subunit ribosomal RNA
Source: RNAcentral